AAAAAGAUAAGCUAAUUAAGCUAUUAGGUUCAUACCCUACUUAUAGGGGCUUCAACCCUCUUCUUUUUA
This 69-nucleotide transfer RNA is filed under the name Bittacus planus. RNAcentral describes it as "tRNA-Met". Lineage: Eukaryota; Metazoa; Arthropoda; Insecta; Mecoptera; Bittacidae. The record is from RNAcentral.